This 128-nucleotide small RNA is filed under the name Marmota monax (woodchuck). The record is from RNAcentral. Lineage: Eukaryota; Metazoa; Chordata; Mammalia; Rodentia; Sciuridae.
GCUGGGUGUGUUGGCACAUGCCUGUAAUCCCAGUGGCUUUCGGAAGUUGAGGCAGGAGGAUCAGGAGUUCAAAGCUAGCCUCAGAAACUUAGCAAGGCCCUAAGAAAAUCAGUGAAACUCUGUCUCUA